GUGAGGUAACGGCUUACCAAGGCGACGACGGGUAGCUGGUCUGAGAGGACGAUCAGCCACACUGGGACUGAGACACGGCCCAGACUCCUACGGGAGGCAGCAGUAGGGAAUCUUGCGCAAUGGGCGAAAGCCUGACGCAGCAACGCCGCGUGAGGGACGAAGGCUUUCUGAGUUGUAAACCUCUUUCAGCAGGGACGAUUGUGACGGUACCUGCAGAAGAAGCACCGGCCAACUACGUGCCAGCAGCCGCGGUGAUACGUAGGGUGCAAGCGUUGUCCGGAUUUAUUGGGCGUAAAGAGCUCGUAGGCGGUUCGAUAAGUCGGGUGUGAAAUCUCCAGGCUCAACCUGGAGUCGCCACUCGAUACUGUCGUGACUUGAGUUCGGUAGGGGACCACGGAAUUCCUGGUGUAGCGGUGAAAUGCGCAGAUAUCAGGAGGAACACCAGUAGCGAAGGCGGUGGUCUGGGCCGACACUGACGCUGAGGAGCGAAAGCGUGGGGAGCGAACAGGAUUAGAUACCCUGGUAGUCCACGCCGUAAACGUUGGGCACUAGGUGUGGGACCUAUUCAACGGGUUCCGUGCCGUAGCUAACGCAUUAAGU
RNAcentral lists this ribosomal RNA (600 nucleotides) under uncultured bacterium. RNAcentral describes it as "bacterial SSU rRNA". It matches the Rfam family "Bacterial small subunit ribosomal RNA", at positions 252 to 865 of the family's 1533-position model. The record is from RNAcentral.